AUGCACGCUGGCGGCGUGCCUAAUACCUGCCAGUCGAGCGUACGGACGAGAAGCUUGCUUCUCUGAUGUUAGCGGCGGACGGGUGAGUAACACGUGGAUAACCUACCUAUAAGACUGGGAUAACUUCGGGAAACCGGAGCUAAUACCGGAUGAUAUUUUGAACCGCAUGGUUCCAAAGUGAAAGACGGUCUUGCUGUCACUUAUAGAUGGAUCCGCGCUGCAUUAGCUAGUUGGUAAGGUAACGGCUUACCAAGGAAACGAUGCAUAGCCGACCUGAGAGGGUGAUCGGCCACACUGGAACUGAGACACGGUCCAGACUCCUACGGGAGGCAGCAGUAGGGAAUCUUCCGCAAUGGGCGAAAGCCUGACGGAGCAACGCCGCGUGAGUGAUGAAGGUCUUCGGAUCGUAAAACUCUGUUAUUAGGGAAGAACAUAUGUGUAAGUAACUGUGCACAUCUUGACGGUACCUAAUCAGAAAGCCACGGCUAACUACGUG
Molecule: ribosomal RNA, 496 nt
Filed under: uncultured bacterium
Lineage: Bacteria
Description: partial 16S ribosomal RNA
Rfam family: Bacterial small subunit ribosomal RNA
Source: RNAcentral